CCGUAAAACAUGUACUUACACCACAAUCCGCCAGAGUAUUACGAGUACAAACUUAAAACUCAAAGGACUUGACGGUGUCCCACCCACCUAGAGGAGCCUGUUCUAUAAUCGAUAUUCCCCGCUAAACCUACCCAUUUCUUGCUUCUCAGCCUGUAUACCUCCGUCGCAAGCUUACCCUAUGAAUGACUUAGUGAGCAAAAAGGCUAUUACACCCACACGUCAGGUCAAGGUGCAGCCUACGAAAUGGUGAGAAAUGGGCUACAAUUUCUACCACAGAACAUACGAAAGACCCUAUGAAACUAAAUCAUGAAGGAGGAUUUAGUAGUAAAAAGGAAAUAGAGUGUCCUUUUUAACCCGGCACUGGGACGCGUACACACCGCCCGUCACCCUCUUCAAUACUACCCACCCUGUAUUUAACACAUGCUCCAUAAAAGAAGAGGCAAGUCGUAACAUGGUAAGCAUACUGGAAAGUGUGCUUGGAUUAAU
This 486-nucleotide ribosomal RNA is filed under the name Trichobatrachus robustus. Its description in RNAcentral is "partial 12S ribosomal RNA". It matches the Rfam family "Bacterial small subunit ribosomal RNA", at positions 800 to 1533 of the family's 1533-position model. Lineage: Eukaryota; Metazoa; Chordata; Amphibia; Anura; Arthroleptidae. The record is from RNAcentral.